AUUGAACGCUGGCGGCAGGCUUAACACAUGCAAGUCGAACGAGUGGCGGACGGGUGAGUAAUGUCUGGGAAACUGCCUGAUGGAGGGGGUUAACUCCUGGAAACGGUAGCUAAUACCGCAUACUAUCGUUUGUGCCCAGAUGGGAUUAGCUAUUUGGUGGGGUAAAGGCUCACCUAGGGGACGAUCCCUAGCUGGUCUGAGAGGAUGACCAGCCAGGCUGGAACUGAGACACGGUCCUGACUCAUAGGGUAGGCAGCAGUGGGGAAUAUUGCUCAAUUUGCGCAAGCCUGAUGGAGCCAUGCCGCGUGGAUGAAGAAGGCUUUCGGGUUGCAAGGUACUUUGAGCGGGGAGGCGUUACCCGCAGAAGAAGCACCGGCUAACUCCGUGCCAGCCGCCGCGGUAAUCC
RNAcentral lists this ribosomal RNA (406 nucleotides) under uncultured bacterium. RNAcentral describes it as "partial 16S ribosomal RNA". It matches the Rfam family "Bacterial small subunit ribosomal RNA", at positions 30 to 526 of the family's 1533-position model. The record is from RNAcentral.